ACUUUACAAUGCUGGCAACAGCGAUAAGGGAACCUCGAGUGCCAGGUUACAAAUCUGGCUGUCGAGAUGCCUAAAAAGCAUUUCAUAGCAAGGGCCGGGCAAGACCGGUGCCAGCCGCCGCGGUAACACCGGCGGCUCGAGUGGUAACCGUUAUUAUUGGGUCUAAAGGGUCUGUAGCCGGCCGGAUAAGUCUCUUGGGAAAUCCAGCAGCUCAACUGUUGGGCUUUCAGGAGAUACUGUCUGGCUCGAGGCCGGGAGAGGUGAGAGGUACUUCAGGGGUAGGGGUGAAAUCUUGUAAUCCUUGAAGGACCACCAGUGGCGAAGGCGUCUCACCAGAACGGACCUGACGGCAAGGGACGAAAGCUAGGGGCACGAACCGGAUUAGAUACCCGGGUAGUCCUAGCCGUAAACGAUACUCGCUAGGUGUCGGCCACGGUGCGACCGUUGUCGGUGCCGUAGGGAAGCCGUGAAGCGAGC
RNAcentral lists this ribosomal RNA (477 nucleotides) under uncultured archaeon. RNAcentral's name for it is "bacterial SSU rRNA". It matches the Rfam family "Archaeal small subunit ribosomal RNA", at positions 347 to 824 of the family's 1478-position model. The record is from RNAcentral.